GAUGAAGAACGCAGCGAAAUGCGAUAAUUAAUGUGAAUUGCAGAAUUCCGUGAAUCAUCGAGUCUUUGAACGCACAUUGCGCCUCAUGGCAUUCCGUGAGGCAUGCCCAUCUCAGCGUUAGAAAAUAUUCUCAAAUUUUAGUUUUGUGCUAAAAUUUGGAUCAUGUCAAGGAAGCUAUUACUAUUAUUGUGAUCGCUCUUUGGAAAUUGAUAGGUCUUUGAGUUGCUACUCAUAGAACGUGAUGAAUCUUUCUUCGUUCUAUUGUAAUUCACUCUGGUAGUCCUAAAACUUGUAUGCCUGUGGCAUAUCUUGUAAUUUGACCUGAGAUUGGGUAGGGAUACCCGCUGAACUUAAGCAUAUCAAUGAGCGGAGGA
Molecule: unclassified non-coding RNA, 374 nt
Filed under: soil metagenome
Description: partial contains internal transcribed spacer 2 and large subunit ribosomal RNA
Rfam family: 5.8S ribosomal RNA (bases 1-120)
Source: RNAcentral